UACGUAGGGUGCAAGCGUUGUCCGGAAUUAUUGGGCGUAAAGAGCUCGUAGGCGGUCUGUCGCGUCUGGUGUGAAAAUCCAGGGCUUAACCCUGGACCUGCAUCGGGUACGGGCAGACUAGAGUGCGGUAGGGGAGACUGGAAUUCCUGGUGUAGCGGUGAAAUGCGCAGAUAUCAGGAGGAACACCGAUGGCGAAGGCAGGUCUCUGGGCCGAUACUGACGCUGAGGAGCGAAAGCGUGGGGAGCAAACAGG
RNAcentral lists this ribosomal RNA (253 nucleotides) under uncultured bacterium. RNAcentral describes it as "partial 16S ribosomal RNA". It matches the Rfam family "Bacterial small subunit ribosomal RNA", at positions 524 to 776 of the family's 1533-position model. The record is from RNAcentral.